GCGGGUGUAGCUCAAUUGGUUAGAGUGCCAGAUUGUGGCUCUGGAGGUUGCGGGUUCGAUCCCCGUCACUCGCCCCA
This 77-nucleotide transfer RNA is filed under the name Azospirillum brasilense. RNAcentral describes it as "tRNA-His". It matches the Rfam family "tRNA". From Rfam's summary of the family: Transfer RNA (tRNA) molecules are approximately 80 nucleotides in length. Lineage: Bacteria; Pseudomonadati; Pseudomonadota; Alphaproteobacteria; Rhodospirillales; Azospirillaceae. The record is from RNAcentral.